Molecule: ribosomal RNA, 664 nt
Filed under: uncultured Lachnospiraceae bacterium
Lineage: Bacteria; Bacillati; Bacillota; Clostridia; Lachnospirales; Lachnospiraceae
Description: bacterial SSU rRNA
Rfam family: Bacterial small subunit ribosomal RNA
Source: RNAcentral
GGAUUAUUUUGACAGAGACUUCGGUUGAAGUGUAUAAUCCUAUGGCGGACGGGUGAGUAACGCGUGGGUAACCUGCCUCACACUGGGGGAUAACAGUCAGAAAUGACUGCUAAUACCGCAUAAGCGCACGGGAUUGCAUGAUCCAGUGUGAAAAACUCCGGUGGUGUGAGAUGGACCCGCGUUGGAUUAGCCAGUUGGCAGGGUAACGGCCUACCAAAGCGACGAUCCAUAGCCGGCCUGAGAGGGUGGACGGCCACAUUGGGACUGAGACACGGCCCAGACUCCUACGGGAGGCAGCAGUGGGGAAUAUUGCACAAUGGGGGAAACCCUGAUGCAGCGACGCCGCGUGAAGGAAGAAGUAUCUCGGUAUGUAAACUUCUAUCAGCAGGGAAGAAAAUGACGGUACCUGACUAAGAAGCCCCGGCUAACUACGUGCCAGCAGCCGCGGUAAUACGUAGGGGGCAAGCGUUAUCCGGAUUUACUGGGUGUAAAGGGAGCGUAGACGGAGCAGCAAGUCUGAUGUGAAAGGCGGGGGCUCAACCCCCGGACUGCAUUGGAAACUGUUGAUCUUGAGUACCGGAGAGGUAAGCGGAAUUCCUAGUGUAGCGGUGAAAUGCGUAGAUAUUAGGAGGAACACCAGUGGCGAAGGCGGCUUACUGGACGG